AAGUCGUAACAAGGUUUCCGUAGGUGAACCUGCGGAAGGAUCAUUAACACGUAUCCAAACGUUAAAACCCCCCCCCCGUGAACCUUCAUCCUGCUCUUGUAACCCGCGUAGUUCGCAAUCUCUGAUCAAUCAUAGCCCGAAAAGUUGUAGUGAUUCAGAGACCUCUGGCUACGUGCGAACAUAACCCCACAGUUUAAUGUGAAGGUCAAUGUAAUACAUUGGGUAAAAAAACCGAACAACUGUUAACAAUGGAUAUCUUGGUUCUC
RNAcentral lists this unclassified non-coding RNA (266 nucleotides) under fungal sp. RNAcentral's name for it is "partial internal transcribed spacer region". The stretch from base 1 to 46 matches the Rfam family "Eukaryotic small subunit ribosomal RNA", at positions 1786 to 1831 of the family's 1831-position model. Lineage: Eukaryota; Fungi. The record is from RNAcentral.